RNAcentral lists this ribosomal RNA (457 nucleotides) under uncultured bacterium. Its description in RNAcentral is "partial 16S ribosomal RNA". It matches the Rfam family "Bacterial small subunit ribosomal RNA", at positions 338 to 795 of the family's 1533-position model. The record is from RNAcentral.
CCUACGGGAGGCAGCAGUGGGGAAUAUUGCACAAUGGGGGAAACCCUGAUGCAGCGACGCCGCGUGAGUGAAGAAGUAUUUCGGUAUGUAAACCUCUAUCAGCAGGGAAGAAAUAAAGUCCUUCGGACUUUGGACGGUACCUGACUAAGAAGCCCCGGCUAAAUACGUGCCAGCAGCCGCGGUAAUACGUAGGGGGCAAGCGUUAUCCGGAUUUACUGGGUGAAAAGGGAGCGUAGACGGCAGCGCAAGUCUGGAGUGAAAUCCCAUGGCUUAACCAUGGAACUGCUUUGGAAACUGUGCAGCUGGAGUGCAGGAGAGGUAAGCGGAAUUCCUAGUGUAGCGGUGAAAUGCGUAGAUAUUAGGAGGAACACCAGUGGCGAAGGCGGCUUACUGGACUGUAACUGACGUUGAGGCUCGAAAGCGUGGGGAGCAAACAGGAUUAGAUACCCCAGUAGUC